This 921-nucleotide long non-coding RNA is filed under the name Calidris pugnax (ruff). RNAcentral's name for it is "lncRNA (ENSCPUG00000016992.1)". Lineage: Eukaryota; Metazoa; Chordata; Aves; Charadriiformes; Scolopacidae. The record is from RNAcentral.
GAAAUGUUUCCACUUUAAACCGGAGCUGAAUGCGCCGCGGAGGCCUUCGCUGCUUGUUCCUGGGAAGUGCCCAGCUGGGGACGUGUGGCUGCCCUGGACAAGCCCGGAGCAGCAGGGAUGUGGCCGAGCAUCCCUGGUGUGGGGAAGGGCAGAGGUACCGGCCACCACCCUGAGCAAGCAGCACUGAAACCCCAGGGCCACCUUUCACAUGGCAACGCAGCUGGUUUUCAAAUGCCUUUUUCUUUUGGGUGCGUGCAUCGCCUUUUGUUUGGUAGAUGAAGGGAUGUCUGUGCGCCAAAUAAAGGGGUUCUUCAGUUUAAUUAAAAAAAAAAAAAAGGAGGGGGGGAAGGGAAAGUAGACAUGGUGCCUUUUAAGCAACAAUUCCAAGGGCAGAGGGGUUACCCAAGGCCACCCAUCGCCAGCUGAAAGCCUGUGUGAGCAGCGAGGAGCUGCAUUGAGGACAAAUCUGUGCUGCUGCUCAAUUACUUGGUGUAACAGCAACAUCUCCCCUCAGAGAGGAGGUGGAACGGGAAGAGCUGUGCUGGGGUCCAACCAUGGGUCCAAUGCACGAGGAACUGCAUCUGGGAGGUUGGCUGUUUCUUUGGGUCAAGGCUGCUGCCUGGAGCCCGCUCCACGGCCGCCCUCUGCACAGGCCCAGCUGCCAUCGGCCCCAGGACGGUUUCAACCCAAACAUUAAUGGGUGAGAGGAAGCCGUGACUCAGCCACCGAUGAAUCACUGCUGCUCCAGAUUGUGCCUCCCUCGUCUUACUGGUGCCCCUCAAGCUGAUUAAGCCUGGACGAAACAAACUCCUGUCACACUGUGGGAUGUUGGUCUGAGCCCAGCCCUGGGACCAGCUGGAAAUCAAAUCCUACCUCCAGCCCCUGUUUUCCAUCCAUCCUUCCCAAACUCCUUAUUUCACU